Molecule: small nuclear RNA, 164 nt
Filed under: Pogona vitticeps (central bearded dragon)
Lineage: Eukaryota; Metazoa; Chordata; Lepidosauria; Squamata; Agamidae
Description: U1 spliceosomal RNA (ENSPVIG00000014305.1)
Rfam family: U1 spliceosomal RNA
About the family: U1 is a small nuclear RNA (snRNA) component of the spliceosome (involved in pre-mRNA splicing). Its 5' end forms complementary base pairs with the 5' splice junction, thus defining the 5' donor site of an intron.
Source: Rfam by way of RNAcentral
ACUCAUACCUUGCAGGGGAAAUACCAUGGUCAUGAAAGUGGUUUUCCUAGGGUGAGGCUCAUCCAUUGCACUUUAGGUGUGCUGAUCCCUAUGAUUUCGCCAAAUGUGGGGAACUCAACUGCAUAAUUUGUGAUAGUGGGGGAUUGCAUUUGUGCAGUCCCUGG